This is a long non-coding RNA of Triticum dicoccoides, 409 nucleotides long. RefSeq lists it as uncharacterized. The transcript is spliced from 3 exons. NCBI's taxonomy places the organism in Eukaryota, Viridiplantae, Streptophyta, Magnoliopsida, Poales, Poaceae. The record is from RefSeq and is a predicted model, not a curated record.
CGAUGACUUCGUGGACUGGCUGCCGGAGAUUGCCGAGGCCACCUGUGGGAAGGAAAGCCUCAUCUUCCAGUACAGCCUCAGCCAGGUCGAAGAAGAAACUGGUAUAAAGUUAAAUCUAGAGGGCAUGGUUGAUCUUACUGCUUCGCCGGACCCUGCUACUGGGUGCAGAAUGCUACCAUCACCGGGUGGCUGUGACGAAGAGAUUUGCAUGUUCCUUUAUAGGGGGCACGUGGGCGAGGAGACUAUUAGGCUCUCCAAGGGAAGGAAACGGGCCUGCGGGACCAUGGCGAGCUGAUCAAGCUGCGUGUGGUCCCCUAUGACCAGCUCUGGCGCACGACGUCAGAUGCAAAGGCGCUCUCGGCAAUAGCUCUGUACGAGAUGGGUGCCAAUAGACUGCAUAAAGCUUCAU